UACGGGGGGGGUAAGCGUUGUUCGGAAUUACUGGGCGUAAAGGGCUCUUAGGCGGCCAACUAAGUCGGACGUGAAAUCCCUCAGCUUAACUGGGGAACUGCGUCCGAUACUGGAUGGCUUGGAUUUGGGAGAGGGAUGCGGAAUUCCAGGUGUAGCGGUGAAAUGCGUAGGUAUCUGGAGGAACACCGGUGGCGAAGGCGGCAUCCUGGACCAAUAUUGACGCUGAGUGAGCGAAAGCCAGGGGAGCAAACGGG
Molecule: ribosomal RNA, 254 nt
Filed under: uncultured bacterium
Lineage: Bacteria
Description: partial 16S ribosomal RNA
Rfam family: Bacterial small subunit ribosomal RNA
Source: RNAcentral